AUCUAAUGAAAAGACUUCGUUAAAUAUUUGAAAUAGUAUUUGCUGAGGUAUUUCAAUGUAUGAUGCUUUAGUCUGCCAAAUUCCUUGCUGAUAUGUACUGCUAUAUUUUCACUGGGUUCUAACUCGAAGUGGCCUUUCUCUGGAGCACAAACUUCCUGGUGAAGAUGUUACAUUAGGCGAAGCUUUGAUGGCCUAACUAUUAUCUAUGUUAAGCAGGUACUUGACUUAAUAAGCAAGGGUGGGAUAAAGGGGAUUGCCCACAUCACAGGUGGUGGUUUCACAGAAAAUAUACCUUGAGUGUUUCCAAAAGGGCUUGGUGCUGUCAUCCAUAAUAACUCCUGGGAAGUACCAAGUGUGUUAAUUGGAUUCAAGAGGUAAAAUGUAUUCUUUGUGUUGGAAAUAUUGAGAAAAGAUGAAGUGAUUGUUGGCAGAGUACUUCUGUCAUCCUCAUAGUUUUUUUUUUCAUUGUCUGGUUUUCUUCGACCACCUAUAUAUUUUUCUUGAAAACAUAAAUUUUUUUUUUCUUACUUUUUAAUUAGGCAGGAAAAAUCGAGGAUGCUGAGAUGAGGCGGACUUUUAACAUGGGCAUUGGGAUGGUUCUAGUUGUGAGCAAGGAAGCAUCUUAUAGAAUACUUGAGAGCGGAAAUGGAGCUUAUAAAAGCAUACUGGAUUGGUGAGGUUGUAAGUGGUGAAGGAGUGAGCUACCAUUAAAUUGUUGUAUCAUUAGUGUUGUAUGCUGGGUUUUUUUUUUUUUUUUUUUUGGUGAAAGUUAUGCUGGUUUUUCGUUUGCAUUAGAUGAGAUGAAUUAUAUACUGAGUUGCAGCAUAAAUUUCUAUUGUAAUUCAUGGAUGAAGGAAUUGGUCACAUCAAAGCUGUUUUGUAGGACUUCAUGACUUUUAAUUACCAACAAUUAGAGGUUUUGGUUGAUGGCUGUGAGAUUAAUUAUAUAGCGAGUUGCAGCAUAAAUUUCUGUUGUAAUUCAUGGAUGAAGGAAUUGUUCACAUCUAAA
Molecule: long non-coding RNA, 1009 nt
Organism: Quercus robur (English oak)
Lineage: Eukaryota; Viridiplantae; Streptophyta; Magnoliopsida; Fagales; Fagaceae
Exons: 2
Source: RefSeq, a predicted model, not a curated record